GGAAGUAGAAGUCGUAACAAGGUUCCCGUAGGUGAACCUGCGGAAGGAUCAUUAGUGAACCCCCUCACGGGCUUAUAACUAUUCCAAACCUCUGUGAACCGUGCCCUUCGGGGCUAUUUUACAAACAUGGUGUAAUGAACGUCAUAUAUCAUAACAAAACAAAACUUUCAACAACGGAUCUCUUGGCUCUC
RNAcentral lists this unclassified non-coding RNA (191 nucleotides) under plant metagenome. RNAcentral's name for it is "partial contains small subunit ribosomal RNA, internal transcribed spacer 1, and 5.8S ribosomal RNA". The stretch from base 1 to 54 matches the Rfam family "Eukaryotic small subunit ribosomal RNA", at positions 1778 to 1831 of the family's 1831-position model. The record is from RNAcentral.